UUAAGUUCAGCGGGUUUUCCUACCUGAUUUGAGACCAAGUGUUCAGGGAAAGUCAACUGGUGUCAACCUUCUCUGGGUAAAUGGUUGAGUUAAACUGGCCUUCACAACCGACAAUUCAUAAGAACAAACGUACGUGUGAGUUGCCCCAUUCAUGCGUGUGCCCAAGAACUGGUGGUUCAAGGAAGCGUAACAUUUCAUUU
This 200-nucleotide unclassified non-coding RNA is filed under the name Rhizophlyctis sp. RNAcentral describes it as "partial internal transcribed spacer 2". The record is from RNAcentral. Lineage: Eukaryota; Fungi; Chytridiomycota; Chytridiomycetes; Rhizophlyctidales; Rhizophlyctidaceae.